RNAcentral lists this long non-coding RNA (393 nucleotides) under Dromaius novaehollandiae (emu). RNAcentral describes it as "lncRNA (ENSDNVG00000016147.1)". Lineage: Eukaryota; Metazoa; Chordata; Aves; Casuariiformes; Dromaiidae. The record is from RNAcentral.
UUUGUAGCAAAGAGCAAGCAAAACUAACCUAUUCUUCACGAACGUGAAAGGAUUUAAACCUAUUACCAUCUUGAGAGACAAAGGAUAUCCAUAUGUUUGAGUUCUGCUUUAUGAACAAGGGAAGAAGACUAACAACUUGCCUGAACGGGUGAGUUAUCAUCAACCCAAGGGAGAAUUUCUAUCUUAAGGCCACUACAAGAAAGGAACACUACAAAAGUGGUGGAGUGAGAGAAGAACAGAAAGAGGGGACUACCCAUGAUAAAUAUUAAAACUGUGGAACUAAGACAGGGGCCUCUGUAAUUCCCUGCUGUGUUGAGACCCGAGGUGGUACUGAAAUUCAAGUGCUAGGUAAGAACAGUUUCUGUCUUUUCAUUUGAAACAUCUCUGUUCCAU